This 157-nucleotide ribosomal RNA is filed under the name Aspicilia bicensis. RNAcentral describes it as "5.8S ribosomal RNA". It matches the Rfam family "5.8S ribosomal RNA". Rfam says of the family: 5.8S ribosomal RNA (5.8S rRNA) is a component of the large subunit of the eukaryotic ribosome. It is transcribed by RNA polymerase I as part of the 45S precursor that also contains 18S and 28S rRNA. Functionally, it is thought that 5.8S rRNA may be involved in ribosome translocation. The record is from RNAcentral. Lineage: Eukaryota; Fungi; Ascomycota; Lecanoromycetes; Pertusariales; Megasporaceae.
AAACUUUCAACAACGGAUCUCUUGGUUCUGGCAUCGAUGAAGAACGCAGCGAAAUGCGAUAAGUAAUGUGAAUUGCAGAAUUCAGUGAAUCAUCGAAUCUUUGAACGCACAUUGCGCCCUCUGGUAUUCCGGGGGGUAUGCCUGUUCGAGCGUCAUU